CCAGCAAAUCGCGACUGCUCCCACAGAUGGGCCCUGGGGGACCAUUCUCAGGCAUUUCUGCAAGCCAUUGCAGACAAUAACAUUCAGGAUCACAACGUGAAGGGCUUUUUGUGUCAAAUAGAAAGGUACUGUAGGCAGUGCCAUUUGACCACACCGAUCAUGUUUCCCCCCGAGCACCCCGUGGAAGAGGUCGGUCGCUUGCUGUUAUGUUGCUUCUUAAAACAUGAAGAUUUAGGUCAUGUGGCAUUAUCUUUAGUUCAUGCAGGUGUACUUGAUAUUGAGCAAAUAAAGCACAGAACGUUGCCUAAGUCAGUGGUGGAUGUUUGUAGAGUUGUCUACCAAGCAAAAUGUUCGCUCAUUAAGACUCAUCAAGAACAGGGCCGUUCUUACAAGGAGGUCUGCACUCCUGUCAUCGAACGUUUGAGAUUCCUCUCUAAUGAAUUGAGACCUGCUGUUGGUAAUGACCUCUCUAUAAUCUCUGAGUUUAAAUUGUUAAGUUCUUUGCCCCGUUGGAGGAGGAUAGCUCAGAAGAUAAUUCGGGAACGGAGGAAAAAGAGAAGUAAGAAUGUAAAAGGACAGAAGAUACUAUUAAAGCAUGUGCUUCACCCUGCCUCGCUGGACCUGUGAUUUCAGAGUGAAGUUUCUCUACUGUUGAUUCCAUGUGACAUUUCUACCUGCUGCCAUCAUUUUUAUGUAUAGUUAUGAUUAAAUACGGAAAUCUCUCCUAUUUUUUCAACCGAUCAGACAAUGAGGCAGUUUAGGAAUUGAGUGUGGUAUGAUUUGAUUACUAGUAAAUUGAUGUUGAAAACGUAAAUAAUCUUUGCUAAAUUGAUGGGAACAAGGACGUAUUUUUAUUUUAUUAGUUAUCCUGGUAAUGAGAUAUAAUGGGAACAUUUAAACUUAUUGCCAUUCUUCUAAAGAAAUGUUUUUUGUUUGGAAAUAUUGAGUAUUCUGAUACAUGGAGAAUUAUAAAGGGAAGCUGAAAGAGUUACUGACAUUUUCCUGGAAGUAGCUGUGUAAGAGUACAGAAAAGUCUUUUUGCAUUAAAUCCAAAUUUGAAUAAAAAUGCUUAGAAAUUAUAAAAUAGUUUAGAAUUCAGUCACUUGUGAUUA
RNAcentral lists this long non-coding RNA (1112 nucleotides) under Homo sapiens (human). RNAcentral's name for it is "non-protein coding lnc-TP53TG3-25:2". The record is from RNAcentral. Lineage: Eukaryota; Metazoa; Chordata; Mammalia; Primates; Hominidae.